CAGCAGCCACGGUAAUACGAAGGGGGCUAGCGUUGCUCGGAAUCACUGGGCGUAAAGGGCGCGUAGGCGGCUGAUUUAGUCGAGGGUGAAAGCCCGUGGCUCAACCACGGAAUGGCCUUCGAUACUGGUUGGCUUGAGACCGGAAGAGGACAGCGGAACUGCGAGUGUAGAGGUGAAAUUCGUAGAUAUUCGCAAGAACACCAGUGGCGAAGGCGGCUGUCUGGUCCGGUUCUGACGCUGAGGCGCGAAAGCGUGGGGAGCAAACAGGAUUAGAUACCCCCGUAGUCCCUGUCUCUUAUAC
RNAcentral lists this ribosomal RNA (301 nucleotides) under uncultured bacterium. RNAcentral's name for it is "partial 16S ribosomal RNA". It matches the Rfam family "Bacterial small subunit ribosomal RNA", at positions 509 to 807 of the family's 1533-position model. The record is from RNAcentral.